CUACGGGAGGCAGCAGUGGGGAAUAUUGGGCAAUGGGCGCAAGCCUGACCCAGCAACGCCGCGUGAGGGAAGAAUGUCUUCGGAUUGUAAACCUCUGUCCUUGGGGACGAAAAAAAUGACGGUACCCAAGGAGGAAGCUCCGGCUAACUACGUGCCAGCAGCCGCGGUAAUACGUAGGGAGCAAGCGUUGUCCGGAAUUAUUGGGCGUAAAGGGUGCGUAGGCGGCAAUACAAGUCAGAUGUGAAAUCCCCAGGCUUAACUUGGGAGUUGCAUUUGAAACUGUAUAGCUUGAGUAAAGGAGAGGUAAGUGGAAUUCCUAGUGUAGCGGUGGAAUGCGUAGAUAUUAGGAGGAACACCAGUGGCGAAGGCGACUUACUGGUCUUUUACUGACGCUGAGGCACGAAAGCGUGGGGAGCAAACAGGAUUAGAUACCCGCGUAGUC
This 442-nucleotide ribosomal RNA is filed under the name uncultured bacterium. RNAcentral describes it as "partial 16S ribosomal RNA". It matches the Rfam family "Bacterial small subunit ribosomal RNA", at positions 339 to 795 of the family's 1533-position model. The record is from RNAcentral.